RNAcentral lists this long non-coding RNA (228 nucleotides) under Homo sapiens (human). RNAcentral's name for it is "HSALNT0306934". Lineage: Eukaryota; Metazoa; Chordata; Mammalia; Primates; Hominidae. The record is from RNAcentral.
CUAGAAUUAAGCAAUAAUAAUCUAGCUACAUUAUUCAGAAAAUGGGGAGAGGAAGCUACCUGCAUGUUAGAAGCAGCUAGAAGCAACAACCUGAAGCAGGAAAGAGGGAGUGAUGUCAGGAGAACAACUUGGUGGGAGCCUGUGGAAGUGGAGCACAGACUAUUUCCCUUGAGCAGGAAUGCUCUCCCUGAACCUGCUUUACAGACGAGGAUGAAAGAAGAAACAAGG